Long non-coding RNA from Polypterus senegalus (gray bichir), 1377 nucleotides. RefSeq lists it as uncharacterized. The record is from RefSeq and is a predicted model, not a curated record. NCBI's taxonomy places the organism in Eukaryota, Metazoa, Chordata, Cladistia, Polypteriformes, Polypteridae. The transcript is spliced from 6 exons.
UCUGCUUCUGUUAAUGACACUCUGUAAACAUCUGAGAACUGAGGAGACCAGUUGCUGGAAUUUUGGGAGAGGAAUGAUGUCACCUUCUUGUCUGAUAUAGGAUACUAGCAGCUCAACAGUUGUGGGUCAUCUUUGUCAUAUUUUUCAUUUCAUGCUGCGCUAAAGGACUUCAGUUUUGUGAAAGAGUCAGCACCAGGACUCUUCUGCUAAGACGCCAUGCUGAUGUAACAGAUGAAGUAUGCACUUUAGCAUUGUCUUCACUGUAAAGGACUGCUGUAAAUUUACAGCUAGUUUCCUACAGUAUUUUCCUGUAUUUUGUUUACACAGUAACAUGCUGUAAUAUUUUAAAGAAUGGCCGUACAUCUACAGCAAGGAGCUGUUUUCAAAACUUAAUACAGUAAUAUAUCAAAAAUACAGUAACAUACUGUAAACUAGUUAAGACACAGUAACAUACUGUACAAGCAAGGCAUUCUGGGAUUGGUUUGAAUGAGGAAGUAAGAGCGGUGCAAGCUGAGCAGAGGUUUUGGUUCAGAAAACCACAUUAGAACUUUUAGAACUUCUCUUACGUCCUGUUAAUUAUGUUAUAGCUUAUAAUUAUUUAUCUUUUUAUCACUCCGCCUAUUCAAUUCAUUUAUUCUUAAUAUUAUUCGUUUUGCUCCUUCCAUUGUUGAGUGAGACCGGGAACAGCGUGUGAGGCGGGAGAAUUGAAAGUUCCAGAAACAAUUCAUUACCGUUUUGACUUGGAUGAUGUCUGAGUUACAAAAAGAGAUUAAGCAAACCUUACUGUGAGUAAUACCAAGCCUUCCUGACGAGCCACUCAAUCAGUCAGUUGAGAAAUGUGUAGGCUGAGGAGUAGAAGAUUUAAUGUACGUGAAAGAAGAGGACUUCUUAAGAGUUCAUACAACCUGUCCAGUGCCAAACUGUUCAGCGCCUGGAAAGAUCAUGAACAAAGAAGCAGCAUUUUGGUUCAGUAAUUAGUUUAACCUAGGUCUCCUCAAAAUUCACCACAAAUGAGCUCCUCAGGCUCCUCAGUAAGCAAAUGGAUGGACUCACGCUUCAAGCAGAUGCAUUUGCCACUUCAGCAGAUGUCCAAGGAACACUCAACUUGCCUGACAGUCCUUGAAUUAUAAUUCUUGGUCAAACUCUAAGCAACCAGCAGUGGAUGGUGAGCAUUGAAGGUCACGUUGUAUGUGAGGGAACACAACUCAGCUUUGUCUGUGGCCGUACUGCUGUGUUUGCUUCAUGUGUGGACACUUUUUCUUUGGUAUCGUUUCUUGUGACUGAAGACUUAGAAAGCAAAAUUAAAAUGAUAUAUUGACAUCAACCCUGAACAAAUGUUCAAGGCCAAUCAAGGAAAAGCUACAUCCAAGAAGACUA